ACCCGCUGAAUUUAAGCAUAUCAAUAAGCGGAGGAAAAGAAACUAACAAGGAUUCCCCUAGUAACGGCGAGCGAAGCGGGAAUAGCCCAGCACCGAAUCCCCUGCCUCGCAGGUAGCGGGAACUGUGGUGUUUAGGACAGCCUAUGGGGUGGUGUUCGGACGUCCGAGUCCUCCUGAUCGGGGCCUUUCCCAUAGCGGGUGUCAGGCCUCUACUGGCGACCGUCGCCUCCCCUUUGUGCGUCCUUGGAGUCGGGUUGUUUGGGAAUGCAGCCCAAAGUGGGUGGUAAACUCCAUCUAAGGCUAAAUACUGACACGAGACCGAU
RNAcentral lists this ribosomal RNA (323 nucleotides) under Nephtys ciliata. RNAcentral describes it as "partial large subunit ribosomal RNA". It matches the Rfam family "Eukaryotic large subunit ribosomal RNA", at positions 23 to 338 of the family's 3401-position model. Lineage: Eukaryota; Metazoa; Annelida; Polychaeta; Phyllodocida; Nephtyidae. The record is from RNAcentral.